This is a long non-coding RNA of Pan troglodytes (chimpanzee), 300 nucleotides long. RefSeq lists it as uncharacterized. NCBI's taxonomy places the organism in Eukaryota, Metazoa, Chordata, Mammalia, Primates, Hominidae. The record is from RefSeq and is a predicted model, not a curated record. The transcript is spliced from 2 exons.
GCUAAUCUGGUAGAUCAUGGCGCCUGGACACAUGGCAAUGGUGGAGUAGUGGGCUGAUAAAAAGUAUUGAGAAGACACGGUCUAUAGGACUCGCUGAUGGAUUGGAUCUGAAGACCUAAUUGGAGCCAAGCUGACAAGGGAGUCUGAGAAAUGUGGUUUUCAGAUUUCCAGCCCUGGCGGUGCAGAGAAGAUAUAGAAAAGUGGAUGUGGGAAUGAGCACCAAUAGACAAUAUCUGCUACGUGUAUUCACAUGCAUUGUAACUCUUGGUUGCAUGUAAUAAAACCCAACUUAGGCUGGCA